Long non-coding RNA from Oxyura jamaicensis (ruddy duck), 3869 nucleotides. RefSeq lists it as uncharacterized. The transcript has 4 exons. NCBI's taxonomy places the organism in Eukaryota, Metazoa, Chordata, Aves, Anseriformes, Anatidae. The record is from RefSeq and is a predicted model, not a curated record.
UCCUGAGACAACUGAGGCACAAGUGUUUUUGAAGCAGGGAGAUGCAUGGAUGCCUGAUUCAAAAUGAAAGACUCUAUUUCCGGGCACUGGGAUCCCAGAACAACCUUCUAAUCAGAAAAAGGAGAGCAAAACGAAUAAUUACGUUGCUGGGACCGGUUGCUUGAUGAUGCGGAGUAAGUGCUUCUCGCUGCUUGAAGCAAGCAGCAAGAUUAUCCCACGCCUCACCCCUCACACACAGGAAGAAAAAAUAGACCCGUAAUCCAGCCAAAACUUAUAAUGUCACACACGGUUCUAUCACCUGCUCUAGGAAACAACGCGGGCCUUUCAUUUAAUAUUGGAAUAAGUUCAUGCUUUCGUGCUUGCUGAUUUUCCUCGUGGUGCUCUCUGAAUAACCCGGCUCCUCUCCGUGAUGACACUGGCCUGCUCUGAAGAACUUCGAGUCGUCGUGGCUGUCCUCGCCUGGCACUGUGCUUGGGGUGGGGAUUGCUGGAGCCCCGUGCUGAGCUGGGGCACCCACACGGUCUCUGCAGAUCUGUGCCUCUGCGCCACAUUUCUCUUUGCAGAGCCACUUGCCAGCUUUCUUGGAGCACUUCGAUAUUAUAGAUGAAAGGUACGCUGAGAAUUGUUGGAGUUUUUCUCUUACAAAACUAUAGAUCUGUAAUUUACAUCAUUUAAAGUGACAAGUACAAAUCAAUCCACACAGCAUAUAUGUUUAAAAUGUUCCCGUUUUAUUAUUUUAUAUAGCUAGGGCAUAUUUUAAAUCCAUUUACUAGGACAAAAUGUAGGCAGUUAGACAGCACCGGUCCCAGCCUCUGAUUCUGCCACAUGAAAAGGUGUGGUAGGUCAAGUCUGUUUAAGUAGGACCUUGACAUGGUGAGGCUGAUUGCUUUAAUAGCACAGUUUUGGUUUGUGGCUUUUCCUCCUGGGCUCUUUGUUGAGACUUGAGGACCUCUCUUUAGCUGUCUGUGGAGCUCAGGUUUUACAAUGACCUGCUGCAAGCUCGCAGAGGGCAGUGGCAAUGCAUUUCAGUGAUGCUUUUGAGCCCCAUCCAUUGCUAAUUCAGUAAAUCAGCUCUGGCACAUUUGUUUCAUUUGGAAUUGAGCAAUCCUUGCAGAGCAGGCAAAGAAGCAAAUAAGUAGCCCUGACAUUUUGCUUCUGACAUCUUCAGAGAUUUCUUAGGAUGAAAAAGUAGAUUAAAACCAUCUCAGGCCAAAGUGAGGGCUAUCUUUAUCACAGAAUUUAUUUACAAUACCUAUUUUUCCAGCUUCAUUAUCUGUUGUGCUAGCAGGAGGAGAAAUUCAGACUGUGACCAUUAGAGCCCAAACUUCUGAUGAGUUGUUCUCAGAAGCUUGUUGUAAACACAGACGGAAGCAGCUGGCCUCAGUGAGCAGGCCACGAGAAGUCAGAAUUUUGAUGAGAGAUGUAGGUUGCUAACGGCUGUGGUGUUUGCAUUUUCCAGAGUGAUGCAGCUCUUCAAAGAGGUCAGUCAGCAUCUGAAGAGUCAGUGUCAGCUAAAGUUCCUCUCAACAUCACUAAAGCCUCUGCCGGCAGUUGUAGACUUUUUUGUAUAUAUAACCUAGUUAGACAAAUGGAUGCAGGGAAGGCAGGGAAGAAGAGGGGAAAGGGAAAAUAGCAAAAAAUCCUAUUCCUCAGUGAAAUAACAGAGUAAAGCAUUGUUUCACUAUACAUGUAAUUCAAAUAAUAUAAUAAAACAAGCUUUUUUAUUUUAAAUAGAUUGCAGGUUAUCCUGCUUUAUUCAUGCAUCCAACAUGUAUUAAUAACAAACACAUCAAUAUAUUUUAACUUCAGGGGUUCCCAGUCUAUCCUUACACAUAUACAUUUUCAACACCUCAGCAUAAUUAAGCAACCCGAUCACAUAAUGCGUAGUGUUGGGAAAAGUAUGAGAGGGCAUAUGGUACUUGUCUCCAGGAGCAGAGCUCUCCAUUGCUUUUGUUGUUCUGUAUCACCAUCUUAAUGCUUUUUUAAUGGAGUUUUCAGAGGGUGAGCACUGUCAGCCCAUUGUCGGCUCCACUCUGCAUAGAGGAAUAAGCAGUACAUGCUCUGCAGAAACGGGGUAGAAAAUUAAAGAAGGAUAUCAUUUAGGGAUGGCAGCAAGUUUGCUGAUGAAGCGAUGGUGCUUUCUGUUCUCAGGCAUGACUUCUGCCAGUUUAGCAGUGAUGUAGGCUGAAAUUAUUUUUCAUUAUGUUCAUACCAGUCGGGUGGCUUGCAGUGAGGAAAUCCUUUGGUCAAAGUGGUUCCAGAAAAAUAGUGAAUUAGUUUAUAAAUAACUGAAAUCACUGCAUAACUCAUGAAUCGUUUCAAUGAUCCCUGUCAUUUCUCUUUAUAUUUUCUCACUAGGUUUUCUCUGAUAGGAAAAUCAGCACUGACUUCUGAGGCCUCAAGUGCUGUAGAAUAUUUCACAGGAAGGCCUUAUGGAACAAAUCUGUUUUUAAAUGAAAUAAUACAUCCGUUUUAUUUAGUUCCCUGUCCAGCAGAUCACUUAAGCUGUUGACUUCUGUUUGACAAGUCACAUAUUUAAAGUUCUGCUCAAACUAGUGUGUCUUGCUGGAGUGGUGCUGUAUUUGGAUGAAUAGAUCUUUGAUAAAUGAACUGCUGCUUUGUUGUGGGGUUUUCAUUGCUUUUCUUUCUAUUGUCUCUUGUGUAAUAAAUCUGCUUGCAAUUUUUAUUUAUUUAUUGCUUCCCGAGUGUCAUGCCCCUAUGUUCAUAACGGGGUCUAACAAAAUUUAAAAGCCUUUCACAUUGCUCAUGUAGGAGAUCCAGGCAUGUGGAAGAUGGAUUUACAGAAGCAGGUAGAGGUGAGAAUUUCAGGGCACAGCUGUCUCACCAAGAACAAUAAGUGAUUACGUUUGUUUGAUUACAAAGUGAAGAGGUGUGAGAGAGCGAAUGGAUUGCUUUUAAUAGCUCCAAGUGAUAUUUCUGGAUGACACUUUAGAAUAAGUCACUGCACAAGCUAGCUUUGGUAGCAGAAAACCACAGGUUUAUUAAACAAGCCCAACACACAUACGGACAGACAUAUCCAUAAUUCUAUGCAAGCUGUGACUGGAGAAUACAGGAAGACCCCAUUGCUGUUGAGUGAUAAUUCUGACAUGUAAUUCACUUGUUUGGGCCAUUGUCUGUAGCUGAGAUGGCUUUAAUCUGAAUGUAAAAAUGUCCAUCUCAGAGUGCCAUCAACUUCACUACAAGUUGUUGGUGCUGUGAGGCAGAGCAAGAGAGAAGAAUAUAAUUAAUUAGAAUUUGGAUUAGAAGAUGAAGCAAUGUAAAAGCAUUAAACAGGGCUUUAUUUACAGACUGUACAUCAACUACACAGACAAAAUAGGUUUAAGCAACGCUAGAAUAAAUUUAUCUGUUCUGAAUUUAGCUGUUAAAAUGAAUUUAUCUGUUCUUUUAAAAUUAUUUUGGACAUUAUCUACCCAAUGUCUGUAUAAAAGCAUAUUGCUCUUAUACUAAUGAACAGAUGGAAAUUCCGUGGCUAGGCAUCCGCCCCCGCAAAGGAGAGCGGAUGGAGGGGAGACAGUAAGUGAAGCAGUGCUGCAGAGCAUAGAUAACAAACUAUUCUGCAUGUUCCCUGCAGACAGGAGAGGAAGUGGUGGAUUGAAAUUGCAACAGGAGUGCUUGGCUUUAGGGAAGCUCGAACAAUGGGGAUAGUUACGCACAUGUGUGGGCUGAUUAGAGACAGCAGAGGGGAUGGAGUGUCUUCAGGUAGGGACCUAGAUGAGGUGGUCUCAAGACCAGCUUUCUUCUAGUGGUAGCUCUGGGAUGGAAUCCCUUGGGUCAGAACUGCUGCAGGACCUAUUCAGAGAGCAUGCAAGUACGUGCACACGUGUAUGAAUGUAAGCAUAAGUGGGAUA